GUAAAUGAAGAAAAAUUUUUAAGUGACAAGUUAACAAGGUGUUUGUUUAAAAAAAAUUGAAAAAAAUUUAAAUGUCUGGCAGACCAAAGCGUCCUCUUGCCGCAUAUAUGUUGUGGCUCAACAAUGCACGCGAUCAUCCAGGCAUUAAAGUAACCGGAGUGGCCGAAAAGGUGGAGAGAAUUUGAGGCCCAUGGAGGCAGCUGGAUUGAAACCAUAUUCGCACAAAGUAUCAAGUCACUAACGUUAAAGGUUCCGUUGUUGGGCAAUCAACAUCAAAAGCGGCUGUGCGUUGUAAGCAGGAUUUGCCGAAGCGAUCAUCAACAUAUGUGCUGAAGCACAGAAAAGCUGAUGUGACUACGACCAUCCCAUGUUGAAGCUAUUAGGGAUAUAGCCAACUAGAAGGAUAUCUCUAAUCACCUCGUUGCCGCUGCUAAGAGAUGUUUGUAUCAUCCAAGCUUUAAUUGACCUAGAGAAGCCUGUUCGAAUUUGUGGGAUGAAUGUUGGGCAAAGCAAAGCUGAUGAGUGAUAUUUUUAAAUAAAUAAUUUAACUACAACACAUUCCGCGUUUCUGAUAAUCAACGAAAAGAUGCGAAAUUUGAGCAUUCAGUUACUAUUGAAGAAAUAUUAUAGAAAAUUAACCCAUGUUGGUUCUUGCUUACUUUGUGAUAUGUAAUGCACACGAUUCGUGAAUUCUUCGUACCACUAUUAUUAGAAUAAAAUUACUUUAAACGAAUUUGUAUUGUACGUAGUAAUUAGAGCUAACUUACGCGCUUUAUUGAAGAAUUAUAGAAAUUAUUCCAUGUGAGUUUUUGCUUACAAAGUAAGCAAGGGGAAGAAAGUUCUGUAUACUAAAACUGCAUCACUUAUGUGUUGAAGAUUUGUUAUUGUAAGUUAUGUCAUGUAUAUCGGCGUGGAUGAGUAGUGAAAAUGUAAAUUUUAUAAAUAAAAAUAUAUUAUUUGAAACUAAAGGAA
Long non-coding RNA from Anastrepha obliqua, 972 nucleotides. RefSeq lists it as uncharacterized. The transcript is spliced from 4 exons. The record is from RefSeq and is a predicted model, not a curated record. NCBI's taxonomy places the organism in Eukaryota, Metazoa, Arthropoda, Insecta, Diptera, Tephritidae.